GAGCCAGAGAGAGAUUGAGGGUUCUCUCAACUCUCCCCAUCUCUCUCACUUGAAAACUUGCUUCCAAAUCGCUCCCUACCAUCAGCAAUCCGACAAGAUCAUCCACGUGUCAAAAGCAUAACCUGGCAUUGCAACCUAUGAUUCUGUGUUAUGUACCACACUUCUCUGAGUGGUUUGGUUGUUUAUGACGAAGUAUUAAGAGAGUUUGGAAGAAAUAAUGGCAGCCAUUGCCGUUGCUUCACCAAAAUCCGCCAUUUUGCAGAACCCAAUCUCUCUCAGAGAACCAAGUUGGAGUCUUUUUGGUGGGUCCUUGAAGGGUCUUUGUUUACAAUUGAAACCCAGAAACAAGAACAGAGAAGAUGCCAUCAAUUUGGUGGUUGCUUCAACAAACUCCACCACCUCAGCAAACACCAGUAGAAGCAGAGGUGGUGGCCGCUUUUACAUCAACUUCACCGGGUUUCCUUUUCCUCUGGGUCCGUUUCUCAAUAGAAGCACCACUAGGACUGAGGCUGUGAAAGGCUGCAUAUGGUUGUUUGAACAAGAGCAAGCAUUAGGCUUCAGCAGUGUGUCAACAAACAUUAGAAUGACAGUCAUCAAACUUAAAUCUGGAGGACUGUGGGUUCAUGCCCCCAUCGCUCCAACCAAGGAGUGUAUUCAGCUUCUGAAAGAGUUGGGAGCUCCCGUAGAAUACAUAGUUCUGCCUACAUUUGCUUAUGAGCACAAAAUUUUUGUUGGUCCAUUUUCUAGGGAGUUCCCUCGAGCUCAGGUAUGGGUGGCACCAAGGCAGUGGAGUUGGCCUUUGAAUCUGCCACUGGAGUUUUUUGGUAUCUUUCGUGCUAAAACCUUAAAAGAUGAUGAUUUGUCCACCCCAUGGGCUUAUGAGAUUGAGCAGAAAGUUCUAAGUUCUCCAGAAGUUGGUAUUGGGCCAUAUGUAGAGGUAGCUUUCUAUCAUAAGCCUUCCAGAACUCUACUGGUUACGGAUGCGGUAAUUUUUGUGCCAAGACAGCCACCUGAUUGUAUUAGCAAAGAAUCCUUGUUGGCAUCCGCAAAGAAUGGUUUGGCUGUAAAACUUCUUAGUAAAGGAAAAGAAGUACCUCAAGAACCAGUAGUUGACAACAAGGCGAACCGUCAAAAAGGAUGGGAAAGAAUGGUUCUUCAAAUUCUUUUUCUUGGUCCAUCGAAUCUGUUGGAACCUAAUGCUAGCUUUGCUCAGAUGUCACAAAAGCUGAUUGUUUCACCCAUUGUAAAGACUCUGGUCUUCAGCAAAGUCCCUGAAAAGGUCAGGGAUUGGGUUGAUGGAAUUGUACGGGAGUGGAGGUUCAAGAGAAUAAUCCCCGCUCAUUUUGCUGCACCAAUCAAUGCAAGCAGGUCUGAUUUGUUAGCUGCAUUUGCAUUUCUGGAUGACCUUUUGGAUGAACGCUAUGUCACUCGGCCUUCACUCUCUCUUCUCUUCGCAUCACUUAUGGGAAAGGCUGCCAGCUACUUCCCUCCGGAUGACAUGAAGACUUUAUCAUCGCUUGAUAAGUUUUUGGUCUCGGUGGGAGCUGUGAAGAAGACUGUCUCAGGCCGGAAACGAUGACAUAACAUAGCAUGCAAAUGUGCCGGUCGAGGUUUCACCUGUUCAAUUUACGUACUCCUCUAUACUUCGGCUACAAAGGUUCUUUGGCCAAACAAAAAAGUUGUCAUGGGAUUCAAGUAGGCAAAAGCUUCAAGGAAAGUUAGCAGGAUAUACGACCAGUUGUUUCAACAGAAGGUGGAAAUUUUGUCCUGCAAUGGAUGACGUAAGGAUCAAUUGAUACGACUGAAAGAUACUAAUCAAUUCUUGAGCAUAAAAAAAUCUAGUUUUUCGUUGGAAGGUCAACUCCCCAACUAAGUUCUGCUACCAACUGCAUUUAGUUUUUGGAGAUUGAUUAUCAGCUGUCAAAGUAGGUUUCACAUAAAGUAUUAACUGAUAUGAGAUGAAAAGAAGAAAAGUUCUUGUGUCUUUUGCUGGCCCAGCAAUCAGUAAAGAACUGGCUUUGUAUAUUUUUUUUUUAUAAUUGCACUGUAGGAGCAAGCACGUCUAGAUCUCAACUUGUAAAAAAGUCUGAAGGUAGAUAGAUAGAUAGAGAGAGAGAGA
This is an RNA transcript of Prunus avium (sweet cherry), 2119 nucleotides long. It is a transcript of the gene named lysine-tRNA ligase, with no coding region annotated. Lineage: Eukaryota; Viridiplantae; Streptophyta; Magnoliopsida; Rosales; Rosaceae. The record is from RefSeq and is a predicted model, not a curated record.